UGAAAGGGCAGACUAAAGAACACAGGUCAGAGCUCAAGGAUGCUGCAGAAUGCCUUGGAGGUGCAUCUUAAUAAUGCCGCUUCCCACAGAGGCCAGAGAUGGGAUCAGACAUCUUGACGAGAAGGUGACCAGUUCUGCUCAGCCUUGUGCUCCCACCAAAGUGUUCACUACAGGCCCCAAACCACCACCAACCAGCGAUGGACAGAAAUGUCUGCAUCUGUGAGCCAAGAUGGAAAUGGACAUUUCCUCUUUGUAAGUUCCUUGUCUAGGUCUUUGUGACAAUGGCAGAAAGCUGACCAACACAUGUCAGUGAGCACAGACUUACAGCAUUGCUUUUAAAGACUAGUAGUCCAUUGUACAUUUACUCAACCACCCCCAUCAUUUCAAACAGUUCUUACACGCUCUUGAUUGUUUUUUGAAAAGGCAAUAAAUCUUAUUGACUGGCUUCGUAA
Non-coding RNA from Cricetulus griseus (Chinese hamster), 452 nucleotides. The record is from RefSeq and is a predicted model, not a curated record. NCBI's taxonomy places the organism in Eukaryota, Metazoa, Chordata, Mammalia, Rodentia, Cricetidae.